RNAcentral lists this ribosomal RNA (301 nucleotides) under uncultured bacterium. RNAcentral describes it as "partial 16S ribosomal RNA". It matches the Rfam family "Bacterial small subunit ribosomal RNA", at positions 509 to 807 of the family's 1533-position model. The record is from RNAcentral.
CAGUCGCCACGGGAACACGAAGGGGGCUAGCGUUGCUCGGAAUUACUGGGCGUAAAGGGAGCGUAGGCGGGUCGUUUAGUCAGAGGUGAAAUCCCGGGGCUCAACCUCGGAACUGCCUUUGAUACUGGCGACCUUGAGUAUGGGAGAGGUGAGUGGAACUCCGAGUGUAGAGGUGAAAUUCGUAGAUAUUCGGAAGAACACCAGUGGCGAAGGCGACUCACUGGCCCAUUACUGACGCUGAGGCUCGAAAGCGUGGGGAGCAAACAGGAUUAGAGACCCGUGUAGUCCCUGUCUCUUAUAC